Molecule: ribosomal RNA, 154 nt
Filed under: Stagmomantis sp. MN150
Lineage: Eukaryota; Metazoa; Arthropoda; Insecta; Mantodea; Mantidae
Description: partial 16S ribosomal RNA
Source: RNAcentral
GCAGUAUUUUGACUGUGCAAAGGUAGCAUAAUCAUUAGUCUUUUAAUUAAGGGCUUGCAUGAAGGAUUGGACGAGGUGAAUACUGUUUUAUGUAAAUUAAAAUUGAAUUUAGAUUUUAAGUAAAAAGACUUAAAUAUAAUUAAAGGACGAGAAG